GGCUCUGUAGCUCAGUGUCAGAGCGCUGCUCUCAUGAGGCGGAGGUCGAGGGUUAAAUUCCCUCCAGAGCCA
RNAcentral lists this transfer RNA (72 nucleotides) under Nanobdellota archaeon. RNAcentral's name for it is "tRNA-Met". It matches the Rfam family "tRNA". From Rfam's summary of the family: Transfer RNA (tRNA) molecules are approximately 80 nucleotides in length. Their secondary structure includes four short double-helical elements and three loops (D, anti-codon, and T loops). Lineage: Archaea; Nanobdellati; Nanobdellota. The record is from RNAcentral.